Molecule: ribosomal RNA, 253 nt
Filed under: uncultured bacterium
Lineage: Bacteria
Description: partial 16S ribosomal RNA
Rfam family: Bacterial small subunit ribosomal RNA
Source: RNAcentral
UACGGGGGGGGCAAGCGUUGUUCGGAAUUACUGGGCGUAAAGGGCUCGUAGGUGGCCAACUAAGUCAGACGUGAAAUCCCUCGGCUUAACCGGGGAACUGCGUCUGAUACUGGAUGGCUUGAGUUUGGGAGAGGGACGCGGAAUUCCUGGUGUAGCGGUGAAAUGCGCAGAUAUCAGGAGGAACACCGGUGGCGAAGGCGGGUCUCUGGGCCGAUACUGACGCUGAGGAGCGAAAGCGUGGGGAGCGAACAGG